GUUUUUAAUCGAACCAAAACCUCAACCCCGAUCUCUGCAUUUGACCUCCAAAAAUUAGGGCUUUUUUUGAAUUGUUUCGAACAAAAAAAGGGGGCUUUUUUUGAACGACCGUACAAGAAGAUUAGACUUUCGAUUUCAGUAAAAAAGGGCAUUUUUUUGUUGUUUAGUAAAUGGACAUCAAGUAAUGGAAAUAUGAUUUCAGAAUUGAAAAUUUUUCAAGGAUUCUUCUUUGAUGGUUUGGUUAUUGAAAAUGUUGAACCUUAAUUUUGAUACGUAGUAUUGCCACAAAUUGGCCGCUGUUACUAUGGACAAUAAUAGUGGGCCGGGCUGCGAAUCUUUGAUUUCACCAUAAAAGUAGCAAGGGAAAAUGCAGCACCUGUAACACAGUUGCAUAGAUAUCAUUCACGCAGCUAGAGUUACCAAAGAGUUCCAAGUGUUUGUUCCAUUCUUUUUAGUUAAUUAGGAGUAGCUUUUAGUUUUGUGUCGUGUUUCAUAAGCAUUUAUACUUGUAGCGUAUGCCAUCUGAUUGAGAUAUCCUGUUGUAAAGGGAUUGUAAAGAUAGAUGGACGCAGUUGUUAAUUCAUUCGUCACCCAUGUGGUAAAUUUGAGCGAGUUUCUUUUGGUAGAAAUAGCAAGCUCAACAACGAAACAUGGAUGAAAUUGUUCGGGUAAGUUCCUGGAAUAUAUCGGAGUUGGGUAGCUUGUUGCGAACAAGUGAGUAAAUUCUCUGGGGCUGUGUAUACAAAAUAUUCGUCAUUGGAAGAGGCAAAGGGAUGCUUGGAGGGCAUAUGUCGAAGCUAGGUCCAGUGAGCAAUUUCCGCUUGAGCAAGAAAUCAUCACCGAUUACCCACCUUUGCUCAAACCUGUGCAAUCAAACAUGGACGACCAUUGUGGUUCAACUAAGUGCAAUCAAACAUGGACGACAUCCUAUUUACUUGAAGCAGCAACGGGAUUUGUAGUUUAAUUUGUAUAAGACUCUUAUGUAAUGUGUAAUGCUUAUUUUGAACCAUUGUGAAGAACAAUUAUUAACUUCAAGCAACUUCUAUUGCUCUCUGGCACUGCUGUAUCCAUUUUAAGUAUCUUGUUCUGGGAAGGGCCAAGAGUUUUGGAUUCUUAAUGCUGACUUUGAAGAAUGUGGUAGUGUUGUAUUGUCAUUACUUUUCUCAAGUGUUAUAUUGUCAAGUGAAGCUGGAAUUUGCUAAUGUAAUGUUAUGACAAUAUGUAGUUGUUAAGGUUGAAACUUGUUGCUGCUUUUUUGGAAUAUCAAGUUGUAGUGAGGUGGUGGAACCAUGAUUUUGUGUAACUUGGGCUAUAUGACAUGGUGUUGUAAUUGUUGUA
This is a long non-coding RNA of Rhododendron vialii, 1338 nucleotides long. RefSeq lists it as uncharacterized. Lineage: Eukaryota; Viridiplantae; Streptophyta; Magnoliopsida; Ericales; Ericaceae. The record is from RefSeq and is a predicted model, not a curated record. The transcript has 2 exons.